UACGGAGGAUCCGAGCGUUAUCCGGAUUUAUUGGGUUUAAAGGGUGUGUAGGCGGUUUGAUAAGUUAGAGGUGAAAUGUCGGGGCUCAACCCCGAAACUGCCUCUAAUACUGUUGGACUAGAGAAUAGUUGCGGUAGGCGGAAUGUAUGGUGUAGCGGUGAAAUGCUUAGAGAUCAUACAGAACACCGGUUGCGAAGGCAGCUUACCAAACUAUAUCUGACGUUGAGGCACGAAAGCGUGGGUAGCAAACAGG
Molecule: ribosomal RNA, 253 nt
Filed under: uncultured bacterium
Lineage: Bacteria
Description: partial 16S ribosomal RNA
Rfam family: Bacterial small subunit ribosomal RNA
Source: RNAcentral